CUCAAAUUUACGUCAAGACCGCAGGGCUGCCUCUUAGGCGCCUGCAUCUGUGGAAAGGGUGUCAGCGCUCGCAGAUCACGCGGAACUUCCAUGAAGAGAAUAAGGAAGAACUCCACAUGAGAAGGUUCUCAUUGCAAGGAAGAAAAGAAUGGGGGUCUCGCAGGCAUAUUCUAGGAAGCUGUGAGCUCGGCGCUUCUGAGGGGAGUGGGGCGGGACAUCCUCUGCGGAAGCCCCCCGUUUCCGUGACGUCCAAAGAAGGGGCGGGCCUGGUUCCGGCCUGGGCGGGAGUCGGUGAGGCUGACCGUGGCGAUGCUGUGCGGGGAAAAAGUGUUACCGCCCAUUUAUUGUGAGCUGUGAUGCUGGGGACAGGAGUUAGGUUUCCUUUUUGUGCAGGAAGCAGUGGAAUGAGGCUUUCUCUCUCACCUUCUCUCCUAACAGGGCAAGGAGGGGUGGCACUUGGGGUCCCGGUUACGGGGACGGUGGCGAAGUCGGGUCCCUGGAAGUCCGCUUCCCGGGUGACUGCCUGCCCGGGGCCGGAGAAUCCCGCCCUGCACCCCUUUCCUUCCAGCUUGGUUCGGUUGUCUAACUGUGGGGUCAAGUUAGGCAGCGUUAUGGCACACCCAGGCGGGGGAGGAGGACUCUGGCUUGAGGGAUGUAAAGACAGUAUCUGAGGAAGAAACGCUCAUCCUUGGCUUGCCUUUACUUGUUCGACUACUGGCAAUUUACUUUACCUUUUUUUUUACUCAUCCUUGGGGAGCGUUCCGGAAGGAAAACUCACUUUUUUUUUUCGUUUCACCACCUCGCCAGCUUAAGUGCGAAGUCAAACGUUAAUAAAAGUAAAGAUAGCCUUAAUUUGUUAUUGAGGUUUUGUUUUGUUUGGGGGGGCGCGAAAUUAUGCUCAGAGACUGAGAUUGUAUUUGCCAGUUUUUAACACAAGUUCGCUGUGGGAUUUAUAGUCGUUUCACAAACCAGUAGCAUGCAGAUUAAGAUGUCUCUUAAUAAGCCAAUAAAAAUAAUAGCAUAACAUAACGUACUCCAGUGAUAGAUGAAUCAUGUUAUUGUUCCAGGCAAGGAGAGAUGACAGAAAUAAGUGCGGCUGAGGUGUACCUUUUUAUACGGUAGGCGCUCAAGAGAGAUGGCUUGGCUAACCGAGAGCUGGCGUCCUGCUGCCGCCUCAAAAGGAAAGUGAAAAGGCCUCUGUUGCUGGAGCCGCUUGCUAGGGGACUACCGCUCGGAUGUUGGCAGCACAAGAUUUUCUCGAGGGCUUUUGCCACUGCUGCUUAGAGUGGCCUUUACCAUGGCAGGAGCUCAUGCCCCAGGGGUUUCGGAGAGCUGGCAGUCACACAUUGCUUCCGCUUACUUAACAGGGGUUGUCAUUGCAGCACAAGGAAGGCCUUGUCUCGUGUGUACCUUACUUUGGCGACCGCACGUGUAAGCACUCCCGGGGCAGUGAAACGCUGAAGUCAAACUAAUCCUCAGUCUCCUGGAAACCCAUGUAGUUCUUCACUGUUUUAUGAGAACCACUCAGGUCAAAGGAGUGAGAAUUGCUGGAGUGGGUGUCCCCUGGGCAUGGGACAAAGAAUGAGUAAGCAGGACAUUUUUUUGAACUGUCAUAUUUUAUCUUAAAAAAAAUAGGACUUUUUGAAGUUUUCUCCAUGACGUAUCUGUGUAUUUUAAUGUGAAGGUAAUAUUCUCUCAUCCAAAGAGAAAAAAAAACUUUGAAUAAAACUGCUUUCCUAAAUCACAUGCUUUAUGCAUUCUUUUGCUUCCAGAAUGUCCCUGGUGCCCUGAGUCUUUAUCCCAAGGAAGGCUCACCUGCUGUUUGAGAAGAAUCAGUACUCUUGUAAUUGUGUUUUGAAGUGAAUUUUAACUUAACACUAUAAAAGGAUAAUUACUAUAUUCAGCACAUACUACCAGAUUGUCACACUUUUAUCUGCUUACAUAUCUGCCACAUUUUAAAGAAGAA
Equus asinus (donkey) is the source of this 1966-nucleotide long non-coding RNA. The record is from Ensembl. NCBI's taxonomy places the organism in Eukaryota, Metazoa, Chordata, Mammalia, Perissodactyla, Equidae.